GUGUGUGAAGGGAAUCUGUGAUAUCUGUUACCACAGUGAUUGGGAGAGCUGGCUGGCUAGGUGGGUGUCCACUCCUCCAUGGCUACUCCAUGUGCCUCUCCUAAAGAUGCAUGGUCAGCUGAGGAGAAUGACCAUUCUUCUAUCAUGGGUGUCUUAGUCAGGGUUUUACUGCUGUGAACAGACACCAUGACCAAGGCAAGUCUUAUAAAAAACAACAUUUAAUUGGGGCUGGCUUACAGGUU
RNAcentral lists this small RNA (242 nucleotides) under Mus spicilegus (steppe mouse). Its description in RNAcentral is "7SK RNA (ENSMSIG00000015955.1)". The stretch from base 1 to 159 matches the Rfam family "7SK RNA". Rfam says of the family: 7SK was discovered as an abundant small nuclear RNA in the mid-70s but a possible function has only recently been suggested. Two independent studies have found that 7SK RNA binds the CDK9/cyclin T complex (known as elongation factor P-TEFb). Lineage: Eukaryota; Metazoa; Chordata; Mammalia; Rodentia; Muridae. The record is from RNAcentral.